GUAAAGAAGUUUUUAAAUGGGCUGAAAAACAAUCAUUUUGUGAUUGAUUUAAUGAGAGCACAUGAUUUCAGUAAACAUUGGAUAGUAAAUAAUGAUGGUUUUGUGCAACUUAAAUCUUAGCACAACUACAUUACGUCAAAGUUGAUGCAAGAAGUUGGUCUGUAGGCUGUAAUAGAUGUUUAUGUAUAAUGUUUUAUCUUCCGAAUUAGUUUGAUCAAACUGUCUGAUCAUCUAAUUGCUCGCGUUGCCACAUGUGACUUCUUUUCAGGUAUAUCAGCAUUGUCAUCAUGUCCAACAGAAAGGAUGGCCAAAUCUACAAAACUACUCCAGUGUAACAUUUGAAAGGAUCUAUUGGCAUGAAAAAUUUAAUUUAAUAUUCAUAGGUAUGUUUUCAUUUGUGUCAUUUUGAACCACUAUGUUUCUACAGUAGCCCAGACCGGACAAAGCAUACACUGGCUCUAGGUAGGGCCACCGUAGUUUCUUCAGUAUUCAGUUGGUUGCAAUCUGUAAACACAUUGAAUCCUUUAAUGAUGACAUUUUGUACUAGUUAAUGUGACAUGAAAAUAACAUCUGAUGUGCAAACCAAAAUAGAUUUUUAAUUGGAUAAUUAUGUAAUUGUCUUACAUAAGAACACUUGAAAUAAAAAGGUUUUUAACUGUUUUGUGUGUCUUUGAAUUAUUUAUCUUCAAUAUUUGUAUCUCAUAAAAACUGAGCCUGAAAGUUAAUUCUUGAGCAUCAAUGUUGUAGUUUGACACAAAAAACCCCUCUCUUACCUGUUUGUUUUUACUCAUUUCCAUAUUUAGGUCACACGAUGACAACUGAGCCAUUUUUAUGACAGAUGGGCAAACUCCAGUUGCUGCUGAAGACCAUGAGAUGAGUCUGAAAGCUCUAGAAAACACUAGUGCUGGUUCAGCAGUGAGAAGAAGAUAAGAUGCCAUUCUGCUGAUCUCAGUCCACAUCCAUCCGUCUACAUCCCAAAUCUUCCCAAGGGCCGCCGGGACGAGGCGUCCUCUUCGCAGCCUUUUCCCUCUGCAGGUCAGGCGGCGUCCACACAGUUUCAUCUCGUCUCGCAGGUUCGACCGACGCCUGACGAAGAACAUCUGCCCGCCGAAAAUUCACAAGCUGCCACAGAAACGACACCAACAGUCGGUUUGUGUUUCUGCUGCCACACAGUGUCACCGACAGUGUUGAAUGUUGACGCAUCUGUUGUGCUGUUGAGUUAGCUGCGUUUCAACAAGUUUCCAUGUGAUCUUCAGGGAUUAAAACAACAACACAGGAUUCAAAUUUGGACUCAGGUGUGGGCGGGAGGGGGGGGUGCAAAUGUGUCAUUGUAUGAAAAAUAUUUAACAUGU
RNAcentral lists this long non-coding RNA (1352 nucleotides) under Dicentrarchus labrax (European seabass). RNAcentral's name for it is "lncRNA (ENSDLAG00005033969.1)". Lineage: Eukaryota; Metazoa; Chordata; Actinopteri; Moronidae. The record is from RNAcentral.